RNAcentral lists this ribosomal RNA (497 nucleotides) under uncultured bacterium. RNAcentral describes it as "partial 16S ribosomal RNA". It matches the Rfam family "Bacterial small subunit ribosomal RNA", at positions 28 to 507 of the family's 1533-position model. The record is from RNAcentral.
GAUGAACGCUGGCGGCGUGCCUAAUACAUGCAAGUCGAGCGAACAGACGAGGAGCUUGCUCCUCUGACGUUAGCGGCGGACGGGUGAGUAACACGUGGAUAACCUACCUAUAAGACUGGGAUAACUUCGGGAAACCGGAGCUAAUACCGGAUAAUAUAUUGAACCGCAUGGUUCAAUAGUGAAAGACGGUUUUGCUGUCACUUAUAGAUGGUUCCGCGCCGCAUUAGCUAGUUGGUAAGGUAACGGCUUACCAAGGCAACGAUGCGUAGCCGACCUGAGAGGGUGAUCGGCCACACUGGAACUGAGACACGGUCCAGACUCCUACGGGAGGCAGCAGUAGGGAAUCUUCCGCAAUGGGCGAAAGCCUGACGGAGCAACGCCGCGUGAGUGAUGAAGGUCUUCGGAUCGUAAAACUCUGUUAUUAGGGAAGAACAAAUGUGUAAGUAACUAUGCGCGUCUUGACGGUACCUAAUCAGAAAGCCACGGCUAACUACGUG